Molecule: ribosomal RNA, 465 nt
Filed under: uncultured Klebsiella sp.
Lineage: Bacteria; Pseudomonadati; Pseudomonadota; Gammaproteobacteria; Enterobacterales; Enterobacteriaceae
Description: bacterial SSU rRNA
Rfam family: Bacterial small subunit ribosomal RNA
Source: RNAcentral
CCUACGGGAGGCUGCAGUGGGGAAUAUUGCACAAUGGGCGCAAGCCUGAUGCAGCCAUGCCGCGUGUGUGAAGAAGGCCUUCGGGUUGUAAAGCACUUUCAGCGGGGAGGAAGGCGUUAAGGUUAAUAACCCUGUCGAUUGACGUUACCCGCAGAAGAAGCACCGGCUAACUCCGUGCCAGCAGCCGCGGUAAUACGGAGGGUGCAAGCGUUAAUCGGAAUUACUGGGCGUAAAGCGCACGCAGGCGGUCCGUCAAGUCGGAUGUGAAAUCCCCGGGCUCAACCUGGGAACUGCAUUCGAAACUGGCAGGCUAGAGUCUUGUAGAGGGGGGUAGAAUUCCAGGUGUAGCGGUGAAAUGCGUAGAGAUCUGGAGGAAUACCGGUGGCGAAGGCGGCCCCCUGGACAAAGACUGACGCUCAGGUGCGAAAGCGUGGGGAGCAAACAGGAUUAGAUACCCCAGUAGUC